UGCAGUCGAACGAAGUCUUCGGACUUAGUGGCAAACGGGUGAGUAACGCGUUGGUAUCUACCCCCAUCUCGGGCAUAAUUCACCGAAAGGUGGACUAAUUCCCGAUAGUCUCUUCGGAGUAAAGAUUUUUCGGGUGGGGAGGAACCUGCGUCCUAUCAGCUUGUUGGUAAGGUAAUGGCUUACCAAGGCUAUGACGGGUAGUUGGUCUGAGAGGAUGACCAGCCACAAUGGGACUGAGACACGGCCCAUACUCCUACGGGAGGCAGCAGUGAGGAAUUUUGCGCAAUGGACGAAAGUCUGACGCAGCAACGCCGCGUGAAGGAUGAAAUAUUUAGGUAUGUAAACUUCUUUUAAGAGGGACGAAGUAUGACGGUACCUCUUGAAUAAGCAUCGGCUAACUACGUGCCAGCAGCCGCGGUAAU
This 422-nucleotide ribosomal RNA is filed under the name uncultured bacterium. RNAcentral describes it as "bacterial SSU rRNA". It matches the Rfam family "Bacterial small subunit ribosomal RNA", at positions 56 to 524 of the family's 1533-position model. The record is from RNAcentral.